Small nucleolar RNA from Erinaceus europaeus (western European hedgehog), 126 nucleotides. NCBI's taxonomy places the organism in Eukaryota, Metazoa, Chordata, Mammalia, Eulipotyphla, Erinaceidae. The record is from Ensembl.
GAAGCACCAAGGGCCACUAUUGAUUGUAUCAGUGGUUCAAACACAGGUACUAACAGCAAAGGGGACCUCAUCAUCUUCAGAGGACAGUCUAUGCCCUUUUAAAGUGAAUUUCGAGGUUCUAUACAU